Molecule: RNA transcript, 3506 nt
Organism: Vigna radiata var. radiata (mung bean)
Lineage: Eukaryota; Viridiplantae; Streptophyta; Magnoliopsida; Fabales; Fabaceae
Exons: 14
Source: RefSeq, a predicted model, not a curated record
ACAAUUAUAUGUUUUUUCUUUUCCUGAACAAGACAUGAGCAGAGCAAUCAGAAGAACAGCAAAAGCAUGAAUGGAUGAUCUCUAUCAUUUUCUCUCUCUCAAGUCUCACCCUCUUCCAUUUUAACCAAUUAAUUCUCUGUAUUUUGUUGGAUGCUUCUCAAAGAUUGAAUCUUGAGUACAGAAUCAAAGAAAAUAUAUGAUGGGCUCAAAGUUUCCGAUGACCCAAAUGGGGACAUCACCUAGAUACACGAUUUCUGCGCACAGAGGUUUUUUUACAUACAAGUAUUCAAGAAGAGUAUUCUCAGAGCAAAAGUUUCCGUUCAAGUUUGUGCCACAGUCUUUGGGGGAUAAAUGGAAGCUAAAUGACAUAAGUACCGGUUCUAUUCAAGAAAGAUUGAAUGUAUUGAUGUCAAGGACCCAAAAUUUUUUGAAUGAAGUGACUUUUCCCCGUGCAAAACCUGGUCAAAGUAAGAAGCCUGGUCCUGUAGAUGAUUUUGGAUUUCAAUUCAUGGAAGACAUAUUUAUGAUAGAGCAGACAAUUGACCGCAGAACGCCAAGUGGGGUUCUUUCUCUAGCCGCUGUAAUUUGUAUUGAACAAUUCAGCAGGGGAUUGUGGAGGAAUGGACCCACAACAUCAAGCACGCCCACCUCUGAUCUUAACAGGGAGGGCUGUUGCCAUAUAUGCAGGAUGAAUGGAUUGACUGGGAAGAAAAUGCAGAAAAUAUUUGGAGCUCUAGUGCCUGAAUCUGUAUAUAAUGAUGCCCGUAAUUUGGUUGAAUAUUGCUGCUUUAGAUUUUUGUCUAGGGAUGGUUCUGCUAUUCAUCCUUCCCUCCAGGACCCUGCCUUCCAGAGGUUGAUAUUCAUAACCAUGGUUGCCUGGGACAAUCCUUAUACCGACAACCUUUCCAGCAAUGCAGAGAAGACUUCUUUACAGAAUAAACUUGUCACGGAGGAGGCUUUUAUUCGUAUUGCUCCUGCAAUCUCUGGUGUGGUUGACCAUCCCACAGUGCACAAUCUUUUCAAGGCUCUUGCUGGCAAUCAAGAGGGCAUUUCUGUGAGCUCAUGGCUGAAUUACAUUAAUGAGUUUAUCAAAGUGCGUCAAAAACAGAUAUCGCAUCAGAUUCCAGAGUUUCCUCAACUGUCUCAGGAGAGAAUUUUAUGCACUAGUUCCAACAGUAAGCGACCUGUUUUGAAAUGGGAGAAUAAUAUGGCCUGGCCUGGCAAACUUACUCUAACAGAUAAAGCAAUCUAUUUUGAGACAGUUAGCAUACUGGGGGAGAAGAGAGCCAUGAGAUUGGAUCUUACAAGUAAUGGUUUACAAGUAGAGAAGGCAAAGGUUGGGCCGUUAGGAUCUUCACUUUUUGACUCUGCUGUUUCUGUUUCCUCUGGCUCAGAAACAAAGUGGGUGCUGGAAUUCAUUGAUUUAGGAGGUGAGAUGAGGAGGGAUGUUUGGCAUGCACUUAUAAAUGAAGUCAUCGCUCUACACAGGUUCAUACGUGAGUAUGGACCUGAUGAGUAUGAUGAGUCACUUUUUAAUGUAUAUGGAGCUCGCAAAGGAAGUGAUAGGGCAACAACCUCUGCUAUUAAUGGUAUUGCUAGACUCCAAGCCCUUCAAUAUUUGCGGAAGUUGCUUGACAAUCCCACCAAACUAGUUCAGUUCUCAUAUUUACAGAAUGCACCACAUGGUGACAUUGUCCUCCAAACUUUAGCUGUUAAUUACUGGGGAGGUCCACUAAUUACAGGAUAUGUAAAUACCCGCAAUCAGUCAGAAACUCGACCUUCUGAUGAAAUAGCUGAUAGCCGCAACCAUGUAUUUGACAUAGAUGGAAGUAUCUACUUGCAGAAGUGGAUGAAAUCUCCAUCUUGGGGUUCAAGUACUUCCAGUAACUUUUGGAAGAACAUUUCAGUAAAAGGUUUAAUAUUGAGUAAGAAUCUUGUUGUGGCUGAUUUAUCAUUCACAGAAAGAGCAGCAAAAAUAAGCAGACUAAAGUACCACGUUGUGGAGAAGACUCAAGCCACCAUUGAUGCUGCAACUCUACAAGGCAUACCCAGCAACAUUGAUCUUUUCAAGGAGCUAAUGUUUCCUUUCGCCUUGAUUGUGAAAAACUUUGAAAAGCUUAGGCAUUGGGAGGAGCCACACUUGACUGUUGCAUUUCUUGGACUCACCUAUACUAUACUUUAUAGAAAUCUGGUGUCGUAUGUGUUUCCCAUGAUGCUGAUGAUUUUGGCAGUUGGCAUGCUCACAAUCAGGGCCCUUAAAGAGCAAGGCCGCCUAGGACGAUCUUUUGGUGAAGUCACAAUACGUGAUCAGCCCCCAUCCAAUACUAUACAAAAGAUUAUUGCUGUAAAAGAUGCCAUGCGUGAUGUUGAGGAUUUUAUGCAGCAAGUGAAUGUCUCUCUCCUCAAAAUACGUUCCAUUUUACUUUCUGGCCAUCCACAGAUUACUACUGAGAUUGCAAUGGUAUUGAUAUCUUCUGCAACCAUACUCCUCAUUGUCCCGUUCAAGUACAUCUUUUCCUUUCUUCUCUUGGAUAUGUUCACAAGGGAGCUUGAGUUUCGGAGAGAAAUGGCUCAGAAGUUCAUUAGAUUUUUGAGAGAACGGUGGCAUGCGGUGCCUGCUGCCCCCGUCUCAAUUUUACCAUUCCAAAAUGAAGAAGCCAGAUCAGAAAUUUACUUGAAAGAAAUUGAGGACCAAUCAAAAUCACAAGGAAAUCAGAGCAGUGGAAAGUCCAGGCAAAUUGAAGCCAUCUACAAGGCUAACAUCAUAGAAAUCAGGUUCACCAAGGGUAAAGUCAGCAAUUGUGGCAGGUGGGGUUCCUGGACCUGUACAGUUAAUGUUGGUACCACAAGCACCUGUUUCACAAUUGCCAUUGCCAUUCUUGUCAAAGUUGCAGCCUGUUCUAGCCCAUAUUCUUCCACUCCAUCCAACAGCAGCUGUGUGCACUUUUGAUUGGCCAGGAUUUAAUGCAUCUCCACUGAAGUUAUCACUUCCUGUCAUCGCAGGCCAUAUUGUCUCCUUGCAGUAAUUUACUAUAGUUAAAGUCUUACUGCUUCCACAGGUUUCAGGUUGACCAAAGAUAGAGAUUAUAAAAGUGAAGAAAUUACCAGAUGAAAUAACAGCAAAGAUGAAAAGAAGUGCACUGUGAUGAUUAGCCAUAUAUCCACUGAUACAGUUUAUUACAUUACAUUGUCUCCAAUUGUCGACGUGCAUGAAAUGAGAGAUUGUGAGCUAUUUAUGAGUAAGCUCAAUGAAAGGAGUUGAAGAAUACGUGAAGAAGAGAGUGAAUCUAUUAGUACUGACAGCUCUAAAAGCUUUCCUUCCUUGCUUAAGGCCAAAAUUUCAGAGGAUACCUUGCUCACCAUUGUCAUACUCAUUACGUCCUUCUAUUCAUUAAAUUUGUUAUGCACUUUUUCACUUUUCCAACUUCUUUUUAUGUUGUCUUGUUUUUAAGACUUCAUCCUUGUACUGAGCUGUAAAACCUUGAACUGUGAUAAGGAUUGAACAA